GGGUUGUGAGGUUAAGCGACUAAGCGUACACGGUGGAUGCCCUGGCAGUCAGAGGCGAUGAAGGACGUGCUAAUCUGCGAAAAGCGUCGGUAAGGUGAUAUGAACCGUUAUAACCGGCGAUGUCCGAAUGGGGAAACCCAGUGUGAUUCGUCACACUAUCGUUAACUGAAUACAUAGGUUAACGAGGCGAACCGGGGGAACUGAAACAUCUAAGUACCCCGAGGAAAAGAAAUCAACCGAGAUUCCCCCAGUAGCGGCGAGCGAACGGGGAGCAGCCCAGAGUCUGAAUCAGCUUGUGUGUUAGUGGAACGGUCUGGAAAGUCCGACGGUACAGGGUGAUAGUCCCGUACACCAAAAUGCACAGGUUGUGAACUCGAAGAGUAGGGCGGGACACGUGGUAUCCUGUCUGAAUAUGGGGGGACCAUCCUCCAAGGCUAAAUACUCCUGACUGACCGAUAGUGAACCAGUACCGUGAGGGAAAGGCGAAAAGAACCCCGGCGAGGGGAGUGAAAAAGAACCUGAAACCGUGUACGUACAAGCAGUGGGAGCACCUUCGGGUGUGACUGCGUACCUUUUGUAUAAUGGGUCAGCGACUUAUAUUCUGUAGCAAGGUUAACCGUAUAGGGGAGCCGCAGGGAAACCGAGUCUUAACUGGGCGUUAAGUUGCAGGGUAUAGACCCGAAACCCGGUGAUCUAGCCAUGGGCAGGUUGAAGGUUGGGUAACACUAACUGGAGGACCGAACCGACUAAUGUUGAAAAAUUAGCGGAUGACUUGUGGCUGGGGGUGAAAGGCCAAUCAAACCGGGAGAUAGCUGGUUCUCCCCGAAAGCUAUUUAGGUAGCGCCUCGUGAAUUCAUCUUCGGGGGUAGAGCACUGUUUCGGCUAGGGGGUCAUCCCGACUUACCAACCCGAUGCAAACUACGAAUACCGAAGAAUGUUAUCACGGGAGACACACGGCGGGUGCUAACGUCCGUCGUGAAGAGGGAAACAACCCAGACCGCCAGCUAAGGUCCCAAAGUCAUGGUUAAGUGGGAAACGAUGUGGGAAGGCACAGACAGCCAGGAUGUUGGCUUAGAAGCAGCCAUCAUUUAAAGAAAGCGUAAUAGCUCACUGGUCGAGUCGGCCUGCGCGGAAGAUGUAACGGGGCUAAACCAUGCACCGAAGCUGCGGCAGCGACACUAUGUGUUGUUGGGUAGGGGAGCGUUCUGUAAGCCUGCGAAGGUGGCCUGUGAGGGUUGCUGGAGGUAUCAGAAGUGCGAAUGCUGACAUAAGUAACGAUAAAGCGGGUGAAAAGCCCGCUCGCCGGAAGACCAAGGGUUCCUGUCCAACGUUAAUCGGGGCAGGGUGAGUCGACCCCUAAGGCGAGGCCGAAAGGCGUAGUCGAUGGGAAACAGGUUAAUAUUCCUGUACUUGGUGUUACUGCGAAGGGGGGACGGAGAAGGCUAUGUUAGCCGGGCGACGGUUGUCCCGGUUUAAGCAUGUAGGCUGAUUGUCCAGGCAAAUCCGGAUAAUCAAGGCUGAGGUGUGAUGACGAGGCACUACGGUGCUGAAGUAACAAAUGCCCUGCUUCCAGGAAAAGCCUCUAAGCAUCAGGUAACAUUAAAUCGUACCCCAAACCGACACAGGUGGUCAGGUAGAGAAUACCAAGGCGCUUGAGAGAACUCGGGUGAAGGAACUAGGCAAAAUGGUGCCGUAACUUCGGGAGAAGGCACGCUGGUGUGUAGGUGAAGUCCCUGCGGAUGGAGCUGAGACCAGUCGAAGAUACCAGCUGGCUGCAACUGUUUAUUAAAAACACAGCACUGUGCAAACACGAAAGUGGACGUAUACGGUGUGACGCCUGCCCGGUGCCGGAAGGUUAAUUGAUGGGGUUAUCCGUAAGGAGAAGCUCUUGAUCGAAGCCCCGGUAAACGGCGGCCGUAACUAUAACGGUCCUAAGGUAGCGAAAUUCCUUGUCGGGUAAGUUCCGACCUGCACGAAUGGCGUAAUGAUGGCCAGGCUGUCUCCACCCGAGACUCAGUGAAAUUGAACUCGCUGUGAAGAUGCAGUGUACCCGCGGCAAGACGGAAAGACCCCGUGAACCUUUACUAUAGCUUGACACUGAACAUUGAGCCUUGAUGUGUAGGAUAGGUGGGAGGCUUUGAAGCGUGGACGCCAGUCUGCGUGGAGCCAACCUUGAAAUACCACCCUUUAAUGUUUGAUGUUCUAACGUUGGCCCCUGACCGGGGUUGCGGACAGUGUCUGGUGGGUAGUUUGACUGGGGCGGUCUCCUCCCAAAGCGUAACGGAGGAGCACGAAGGUUAGCUAAUCCUGGUCGGACAUCAGGAGGUUAGUGCAAUGGCAUAAGCUAGCUUGACUGCGAGCGUGACGGCGCGAGCAGGUGCGAAAGCAGGUCAUAGUGAUCCGGUGGUUCUGAAUGGAAGGGCCAUCGCUCAACGGAUAAAAGGUACUCCGGGGAUAACAGGCUGAUACCGCCCAAGAGUUCAUAUCGACGGCGGUGUUUGGCACCUCGAUGUCGGCUCAUCACAUCCUGGGGCUGAAGUAGGUCCCAAGGGUAUGGCUGUUCGCCAUUUAAAGUGGUACGCGAGCUGGGUUUAGAACGUCGUGAGACAGUUCGGUCCCUAUCUGCCGUGGGCGCUGGAGAAUUGAGGGGGGCUGCUCCUAGUACGAGAGGACCGGAGUGGACGCAUCACUGGUGUUCGGGUUGUCAUGCCAAUGGCACUGCCCGGUAGCUAAAUGCGGAAGAGAUAAGUGCUGAAAGCAUCUAAGCACGAAACUUGCCCCGAGAUGAGUUCUCCCUGAGACUUUAAGUCUCCUGAAGGAACGUUGAAGACGACGACGUUGAUAGGCCGGGUGUGUAAGCGCAGCGAUGCGUUGAGCUAACCGGUACUAAUGAACCGUGAGGCUUAACCUUACAACGCCGAAG
RNAcentral lists this ribosomal RNA (2923 nucleotides) under Klebsiella pneumoniae. RNAcentral's name for it is "23S ribosomal RNA". It matches the Rfam family "Bacterial large subunit ribosomal RNA". The record is from RNAcentral. Lineage: Bacteria; Pseudomonadati; Pseudomonadota; Gammaproteobacteria; Enterobacterales; Enterobacteriaceae.